RNAcentral lists this unclassified non-coding RNA (231 nucleotides) under Hevea brasiliensis (rubber tree). Lineage: Eukaryota; Viridiplantae; Streptophyta; Magnoliopsida; Malpighiales; Euphorbiaceae. The record is from RNAcentral.
GGUGUUUCCUAGUGAUGAAGAUGGCAGAGGUCCAUGGAGGGUUGCUGAUCCUGGAAUUGACACUAAAACUUCUGCUUUCAUUGCCCAUUUCCAUGCCACUCGCAUCUCAGAAUCCGACCGCCAAAUUUACCAGCCUGCAAAAGCCUGAUGAAAAAUUUGUCAGGACUGCUUAUUCUUCUUCUCUCUGUUUCUGCGUCUGUAGUGUCCAUAUAUGUUAUUUGUUUAAUGAUG